RNAcentral lists this unclassified non-coding RNA (430 nucleotides) under soil metagenome. RNAcentral describes it as "partial contains 5.8S ribosomal RNA, internal transcribed spacer 2, and large subunit ribosomal RNA". The stretch from base 1 to 120 matches the Rfam family "5.8S ribosomal RNA", at positions 35 to 154 of the family's 154-position model. The record is from RNAcentral.
GAUGAAGAACGCAGCGAAAUGCGAUACGUAAUGUGAAUUGCAGAAUUCAGUGAAUCAUCGAAUCUUUGAACGCAUAUUGCGCUCUCUGGUAUUCCGGAGAGCAUGCUUGUUUGAGUAUCAGUAAACACCUCAACUCCCUUUUCUUUUUUGAAAUUGGAGCUGGACUUGAGUGAUCCCAACGCUUUCUUCCAAGAAAGUGGCGGGUUGCUUGAAAUGCAGGUGCAGCUGAACUUUUCUCUGAGCUAUAAGCAUAUCUAUUUAGUCUGCCUAAAAAACAGAUUAUUAUCUUUGCUGCAGCUAACAUAAAGGAGACUAGUUCUUGUGCUGACUGAUGCAGGAUUCACAGAGACAGCUUCGGCUGACUUUGUAAACUCGAUCUCAAAUCAAGUAAGACUACCCGCUGAACUUAAGCAUAUCAAUAAGCGGAGGA